AUAGCGUAUAUUAAAGUUGUUGCAGUUAAAAAGCUCGUAGUUGGAUUUCUGGGAGGGUGCCAAUGUCCGCUUGUUAGCGUGCGCAGCGGCGCCCUUCCAUCCUUCUGUUAACGUUUCUUGGUAUUCACUUACUGGUUUCGGGCUCAGAUAUUUUACCUUGAGAAAAUUAGAGUGUUUCAGGCAGGCUUGCGCCGGAAUACAUUAGCAUGGAAUAAUAGAAUAGGACUUCUGUCUCACAUUUGUUGGUUUGAGGGGCUGAAGUAAUGAUUAAUAGGGAUAGUUGGGGGCAUUAGUAUUUAAUUGUCAGAGGUGAAAUUCUCGGAUUUGUUAAAGACUAACUUAUG
RNAcentral lists this ribosomal RNA (344 nucleotides) under uncultured eukaryote. RNAcentral's name for it is "SSU rRNA". It matches the Rfam family "Eukaryotic small subunit ribosomal RNA", at positions 594 to 945 of the family's 1831-position model. The record is from RNAcentral.